This 66-nucleotide transfer RNA is filed under the name Quasipaa boulengeri (spiny-bellied frog). RNAcentral describes it as "tRNA-Cys". It matches the Rfam family "tRNA". Rfam says of the family: Transfer RNA (tRNA) molecules are approximately 80 nucleotides in length. Lineage: Eukaryota; Metazoa; Chordata; Amphibia; Anura; Dicroglossidae. The record is from RNAcentral.
GGUCCUGUGGUGUUAACACGUGUGGUUGCAAACCUCAAAAUGCAGAAUAGACUCCUGCCGGGGCUU